This 615-nucleotide ribosomal RNA is filed under the name Rhodopseudomonas sp. Se3Pw_3458. RNAcentral's name for it is "bacterial SSU rRNA". It matches the Rfam family "Bacterial small subunit ribosomal RNA", at positions 391 to 1022 of the family's 1533-position model. Lineage: Bacteria; Pseudomonadati; Pseudomonadota; Alphaproteobacteria; Hyphomicrobiales; Nitrobacteraceae. The record is from RNAcentral.
GCCAUGCCGCGUGAGUGAUGAAGGCCCUAGGGUUGUAAAGCUCUUUUGUGCGGGAAGAUAAUGACGGUACCGCAAGAAUAAGCCCCGGCUAACUUCGUGCCAGCAGCCGCGGUAAUACUAAGGGGGCUAGCGUUGCUCGGAAUCACUGGGCGUAAAGGGUGCGUAAGCGGGUUUCUAAGUCAGAGGUGAAAUCCUGGAGCUCAACUCCAGAACUGCCUUUGAUACUGGAAGUCUUGAGUAUGGGAGAGGUGAGUGGAACUGCGAGUGUAGAGGUGAAAUUCAUAUAUAUUCGCAAGAACACCAUUGGCGAAUGCGGCUCACUGGCCCAUUACUGACGCUGAGGCACGAAAGCGUGGGGAGCAAACAGGAUUAAAUACCCUGGUAGUCCACGCCAUAAACGAUGAAGGCCAGCCGUUAGUGGGUUUACUCACUAGUGGCGCAGCUUACGCUUUAAGCAUUCCGCCUGGGGAGUACGGUCGCAAGAUUAAAACUCAAAGGAAUUGACGGGGGCCCGCACAAGCGGUGGAGCAUGUGGUUUAAUUCGACGCAGCGCGCAGAACCUUACCAGCCCUUGACAUGUCCAGGACCGGUCGCAUAUAUGUGACCUUCUCUUCG